Molecule: non-coding RNA, 2955 nt
Organism: Rhopilema esculentum
Lineage: Eukaryota; Metazoa; Cnidaria; Scyphozoa; Rhizostomeae; Rhizostomatidae
Source: RefSeq, a predicted model, not a curated record
UACAUUUUCAUUCAUAGAUAAUUUUUAGCAUAUUUCUCAAAACUUAACGGAAUGCUAGUAAAAUUUUCCUUAUAAAUGCUAGCAAAAUUUGCUAGUAUAAUAUAGCAAUUACGGUAAAUUAUAGCACUUUAUCUUUCCCAUCUAUAGCAGUUUGAACAAGAGGUAGGAGAUUCGAUGAUCAAUCCAUUCAGUGCAUUUCAUUUUUGUAACAUGACUGUUGUAUUAAGGUGAAACUGUUAACAGAACAGAAGCACUCUGGAAACGCAAUAGUGCAUUUAGACCUCAAUUUGACGGAACUGAAUCUAAUGGCUUAGUGUCAUGGAAGUAACAAGAACUCGAGAACGAUGUUUUUGUCAAAAAGGGGGCAUAAACCAUUCUCUCGUUUUAUCCAUACUUUGAUUUCUUUUGUUUUUCAUUUAAAUUAAAUCCAUAAUUUUUUGCAUGAUGUAUCGACUGAUCACUUCGCCCUUGACAGUACCCAACUUGAUGAUUAUAUAUCUGGUUGCUAAAACUAUCUAACAGUAAAGAGAGACAAAGCUGCACUAGAUCCCUUCCUGACUUAAACUAGUUCCGCUCAAAGUAAAAUUUUAAAACUUAAUUCUUGAUGAUUCAUUCAUUGAAGGUGUAUCCAGCUGAAUGCAAAUACAAAUAAACUUUUUAUAUCAAAUAUUCAGUGACUCUUCAUGAUAAAGUAUCAGUUUAUCAUAGUAAAGGACGACUAUGAAUGAAGAAAGUGCUACAUAAAUUUACCAUCCAAGAAACAAGAAAAAUUAAAAUUCAGUGUAAAGGUGAUAAGUAAGUAGAGAUAGAGCAACAUGCAAAAUCACGCAUGAGUACAAGAAGGCGCGACUAAGAGACUAGUCUGCUAAUCAUGUCCUUGUAAACAUGGGGCCACGGAUAUAGGGCUUUGGGUAUGGAGCCAUGAAGACGGGGCUCAGACAAUAGGGCCGUGGACAUGCGGCUCUAGGUACAAGGCUCAUUGAACACAAGGUAUGACGUUUGUGCAAAAGUUUGUUUGAAGUCUCAUUAUUGCAACUGUUAAAGGCUUUAGAAGACUCUUCUAAUGAAACGGGACCUUUUGCCUGACCCAAUUUUCUGAUCUCAGAACAACAUUUCUGCUAUCAAAGGAAAACAGAGAAAUCUCUUAAAAAUGGGUACUUAUGUAAGAAAAAUAAAGUUGGAAAACUAUUCAGAAUGGAUUUGACGAAUAUAAUUGCUAUACAGAUAGUGCAGAAGUCGAAUAAUGUUGACUUACAGAUAGCAAAAUUUUGCUGAAAUUACUGGUGCUUUGCAUCUCCACAUGAUUGAUAAAGAUGCUAUAAAAAUCCAUUUAAAUUCAAAGCAAGCGUUAAUUAUUUUGAAUAAAACAGGCCUUUUAGAAAUAAAUUUCUGUAUAGAGCUAGUGAAUUUUCCCAAUAAGAAAUCAUCAUGAAAUGUUGCAAUUAAUAUUCUAGAUAAAAUCCCGGGCAAAAUUGUUGGAGCAAAACGCAAAUUUUACAAUUUUAUAAUGUUGCCUCUGCUGUAAAAUUGAAUUUCCUCUUUCAUCUCACAUCUAUGUGGGAUUUGAAGUUCAAUCCCCUUCGGUUCAAAAACAUGCAUUUAACAUUGAAUCGGGGCGACGAAAAAGAAAUUUUUCAAAGGAAAGAGAAAACACCAGGUUUUUCAUAAAAAGUCUAAACUCUUUUGUCCGGGAUUGUAGCAAGGCAUAGAACGAUAUGGGGCACUCAAAAAUGCUUGGGUUCAUUCAAGUACCUUAACGCGCUUCCCUACAACUUUUAUUGUUCUGCUUUAUAUGUGUCUAAAAAUAAUCACCAAAACUGCUUUCAUCAGAAAAGAAAACUAAACCAUUCGGAUGACUUUUGACUGACAUCAUUAGCGAAGUAAGGGGAAUCAAUUUUUGAGGUGAAAUGAGCUUUGUCAAGAGAUAUUACCUCAAGAGAUAUAGCAAUGAUAAAUCUGCAUUUGAUCAAGGAUAUGCACGCGGCUGUUUUUAAGAAUCUAUCUAAAUAAUUGGCAGCCGUUUGCAUCAAACACACGGAAAGGAAGUAAGAAUAUAUUUCAUUUGAAAUAAUAUUUGAAGAAUUUCAAGAUUAUUAAUUGUUUGGAGUAAGCACAUUCAAUAGAAAUGCUGAAAACGAUUGCAUAUGCGUUGGGCAGGUGAUACACUGUUACGGAAGAACACUAAUGAAAAUUUCCUUUAUUUCCAAUUACGAAACGGCUCAUUCAUAUUCACGCCCAUAUGUGUUAUCAAAAGAAAGGGCCUUGUGAUGUCGCUCGUGAUGCACAAAAGCAAUGUCGUAUCGCGCAUUUAAUUGGCUGAGCAGCAAAUGACGUGUUUUCAAGAGUCUUUAAAUUCACUGCAGAAGCAAGCGACUAUUCCAGAAGAUAAGUGGACAAGGCUUUCCCUGGACUUCAAGCUGUCAUAUAAACUGCGCAAAGAAGAAAGCUAAUCAACAAAUUAGAAAUGGCAAGACAUCAUGUGCAUCUCCUCCUGCUUUUCAUUUCAAUUUUUGCAGUGUAUGUUGAAUGUUUCUUUACCCAUCAAAGAGAAGUCGAGGGUGAACAAAUGAUCAAAACGUACUGCAGAGAAGCCAAAAAUUUGUGCUCCGGAUUUCAAAAUAAUCGUGAGAUAAAACGUGUUGCAGCUGAAGACGAAAAGAUGGCACAGUAUAAGCGAGUGAUAAGCCUUUUGAGGAAGCUGAGUGGAACAAUAAAGAGGCAAAAACUGUAUGAAGAUGUAGCAGAGAAAAAUCUUGAAGAACUGGCCAGGAUGAAGACAAAAUAAGAUCAAUGGACAUCAAACUACAGCAUUUUAUCAUUAACAUAGAAUCGCCUGAUGACUACCGACUUUAAAAAUUUGCUCUUUCGUUAUACUGCAUAGCUAAAUAAAAAAGGUUAGCUAGAUUCAGCCUCAUCCUGUAAUCUUACAUGUGAUAUCAUGCUGUCUUGAAAUAA